UGGUUGCUAAGGUAGGAUAUAGUAUGAUGUGCUUUUGUGAUUAGGAUUUCUUAGAUGUGGAUUGCAAUAUUGUAGAGGUGACGAUUCUAAGUUUUAAAUCAUGUGAGUCCCUGCUGUUUUUAAAACCUCUUUCAGAGAGACUGCUUGUUUGUUUUGCGUGAGGACAAGCAAAAGGGUAAGUCUAGGAAAGUUGAUAGACUAUGGAUUUG
This 209-nucleotide long non-coding RNA is filed under the name Brassica rapa (field mustard). Its description in RNAcentral is "long non-coding RNA (BRAP_LNC002472)". The record is from RNAcentral. Lineage: Eukaryota; Viridiplantae; Streptophyta; Magnoliopsida; Brassicales; Brassicaceae.